GAAUGAGUUUGUUGUCUUUUGUUCACACCGAGGGGUAGAAUGGUCCCGUGGUUUGGUACAUUUUGAUGAACACUGUGAGAGAUGCUACUGUAGCGGAUUUGUCAAGCAGUGUUGCGAAGCUCGUGAGGUAGCGGGAGUUACAACGAUCCCCGGAUGUGUACAAGAGAUGCGAGGAUGUAAAAUGGAGUUCUACAGAUACAUGUAUGGCAUUAAAAUAAACUGUCGUACAGGCCAACCUUUUGAGGAUAUAAUUGGUUAUUGAAAAAACUCUUCUGUGGUAUAUUUUCAUCUUUUUUAAUUGUUUAUACAUUUUGUUAUAGAAUAAAGUUGAUAUUUGACUACUUAA
Saccostrea cuccullata (small rock oyster) is the source of this 346-nucleotide long non-coding RNA. RefSeq lists it as uncharacterized. NCBI's taxonomy places the organism in Eukaryota, Metazoa, Mollusca, Bivalvia, Ostreida, Ostreidae. The transcript has 2 exons. The record is from RefSeq and is a predicted model, not a curated record.